RNAcentral lists this non-coding RNA (23 nucleotides) under Arabidopsis thaliana (thale cress). The record is from RNAcentral. Lineage: Eukaryota; Viridiplantae; Streptophyta; Magnoliopsida; Brassicales; Brassicaceae.
AACCCAAUUAACAACUCAACCCA